GCUCCAGUAGCAUAGUUGGUUAAUGCGUAGUGCUUAUAGUUUACAGCUAUACCUGAGUCACGCUAAGAUCGCGAGUUCGAUCCUCGCCUGGAGCA
Molecule: non-coding RNA, 95 nt
Organism: Backusella circina FSU 941
Lineage: Eukaryota; Fungi; Mucoromycota; Mucoromycetes; Mucorales; Backusellaceae
Source: the annotation of a GenBank genome assembly